UGUUCAGUUUGCCUCCUCUGCUACAGAGACC
This 31-nucleotide non-coding RNA is filed under the name Rattus norvegicus (Norway rat). The record is from RNAcentral. Lineage: Eukaryota; Metazoa; Chordata; Mammalia; Rodentia; Muridae.